Molecule: long non-coding RNA, 1467 nt
Filed under: Astyanax mexicanus (Mexican tetra)
Lineage: Eukaryota; Metazoa; Chordata; Actinopteri; Characiformes; Acestrorhamphidae
Description: lncRNA (ENSAMXG00005006054.1)
Source: RNAcentral
AUUAAUAUUAUCCUUCAAGCUACAGUAUUAAUAUAUUUUAAAUGGCUAUUGUUACUUAUAUUGCAUGGAGCAGCAGCAGAAGCUCCAGUAGUUUUAUUCUCAUGUUUCUCCAGAUAGAACAGCGUGAGACUCCACAGAGCUGAACUGAACUACAGUAGCAAUAGCUUGUUAUGCUAACUGGCUAGCGUUAGCUAGCAAGCUCUGCUACUGUGCUUUUUUUGGCUUUUUUCUACACAGGGACAACAUUUUAUUUAUUUUUCUAAUAGCUACAUAUAUCUUGUAGCUAGCUAACUAGCUUGCUAGCUAUUUAGUAAAUAACCCUAAAGUUGCAAUUUAUUUAGCUAGCUUCCUAUCUGUUGUAAAGUGAGAGAUAGAUUGUGCUUUUGUUACUUAAUACUCAACAAAAAUGGCAGAAAGUUUUCCCAAUGCUCUUAACACAGCCUGGCCCCAGAUUCAUGUUAGUGUUGGGCGGUAUAGCGGUUCAUCUGGUAUACCAGUUUUAAUUUCCCCUUCGCAUUUUUAUGCAUUAUGUAUUUUUCACAUACCAUCAUAUCACUAGAAGAGUUACGGAGUGCUGCGUAGAACAGCACCACCAAAGAAGCAUACUGGUACAGCUUGCUAGCUAACACCAAUUAGCAUAACAAGCUAACACAGUCUGUACUGAAGCGAGAGGACAGUAGCUCAGCUCUGUGGAGUCUAAUGCUCAUCUCGCUGUGUCUUACCUGGAGAAACGUGAUAUGAGAACAGCACUUGAUCUAAAGAGCCCCUGCUGCUGUUCAUCACUGUAUGAGUGUUUUUAUAAGAGUAAAAUUGAAAAACAUCAUCAUUAGAGCAUUAAUGCUUUACCCUAACAGCCCUAGUUCAUCAGAUCUUAAAAAAUACCACAGUAAACAUUUUCGGUCAUACUGCCCAGCACUAAUUCCUGUGCUUCUCUGUGUGUUUAAGCGCAGAAGAUGUCGCUCUGGCGCCACAUUGUUGAUAAGCAGAAGGGCAGUGGCGGUGGUGCCCUGGGCGACAGUGUGUGUACACUUCCCCACAGCUCCAGCUCAGGCCUGCAGGGAGAUGAUUCCUCAGAUAUGAAGCAGACACAGCCCUGUCUACAGCAUCUACAGCCUGCUGGAAACAAGACCUGUCUGCUGCGCAGUCCACAGUCCAAUACAGGUUUUAUCAAAACAACCCCCUCAGGAUCCAUGAGGGACGUUUCAGCCUCCAGCCUGCACAGCUCUCCAGGUCAUUGUUGCACUCCAGCUCAGUCGCCUGCUGGAUUGGAGAGAUCCUUACUCAGACAGCUUGUCUCUGGAUCUCCUCAAACUCACAGUGCUGGAAAGAGGAGGCCACAACUCAUACACAACCCUAAUAAGGCCACCGUGACUGUGGACAGGACCACAGAGAAGGUAAAUCAGAUGAUGGGCCCAAUUCAUGAAACCUUGGUAAAAACAUUAACAAACUAAAGUAAAUAAUGAGUUA